This 1273-nucleotide unclassified non-coding RNA is filed under the name Hevea brasiliensis (rubber tree). The record is from RNAcentral. Lineage: Eukaryota; Viridiplantae; Streptophyta; Magnoliopsida; Malpighiales; Euphorbiaceae.
GGUAAAGUUGAUAUCUUGGUUGCAAGAAUUGGAACUGGUGGUACAGUAACUGGUGCGGGGAAAUUUCUCAAGGAGAAAAAUCCAGACAUUAAGGCAUUCUUCAUAUUAUAUUUGCUGUGCACGAACAGCCUGCUGUGCACGAACAGCCUGCUGUUUUCCAGCUUUAAUUAUUUUAUGUUAUUGUAUAACUUUCUCUUGUUCAUACCUAGGUUUAUGGUGUAGAACCAGCUGAAAGUGCUGUCUUGAAUGGUGGAAAACCUGGUAAGUCAUGGAUCACUUCAUGGUUGUAUUCUUUGUUCUUUUUUACAUGGUCCCAUAAAUUUUCUAGUUGUGGGGCUUGGGGUCAAAUUUCAUGGUUCAUGUGUUGCAGUUAUUCAUUACUUUAGAGGUUGAUAGGACACUGAAAAGACUUGGAACAUUAAGCAGUAGGAACUCUGAACCAAAAUAUUGACAGUUUUGCUCAACAGCUCAACCAGACUAAUUCAGACAAAAAGAUUUAAGGUAUAUGUAGUUGGAAACUAGGAAUAAUGGAAGACUGAUAGAAGAUUCUAUCAAGGGGAGGAAACCAUCUAGAAAAGUAAUUGAUUUUUCUAACAACUAAAAAAGUCUUGCCAAUAUCUGAUAGGUCCUAAACUCCUGCAUCUAGAGAUUCUGUUUAAGCAAAACAAUCCUUGAAACUUGUAUGUACUAAGAAAUUUAGAGUGAUACUGGAUCUUUUAAAGAUUCUGUAAAGCAAACAUUCCUAAGCAUUGAGCACACUUAUCAUGCAAGUAAUUUGAAGAUUUGCAAUGUGCUUAUGAUUUUAUCUUCUCUGGUAUAUUGGAUACCUUACAUUCUGUGUGUGUCAAAGGUCACCAUCUAAUCGAUGGACUAGGUGCUGGUAUUGUACCUUCCGUUCUGGAUGUUGGCAUUCUUGAUGAAGUUAUUCAGGUAAGUCUAAAACCAUGUCAUUUGCUUUUAUUUAACUCUAAAAUUAUCUGCUUGUGCUUCCAUUCUUUUUAUUGUUUUUCUGAUUGCAACAUGAAGUGAUCUAUGCACUAAGAGGCCUAGCAUGAUCAGAAAUUGUAAAUAAGCUUUUGCAUCUGAGAAGUUUGUGUCUUCACAAGAUACACAAGCAAAUUAUGGGUCCUAAACUCCUAAUGCAGACAUUGAGGGUCUGAUGCAACAAGUUUAAGUGUGUCAUUAGUUUAUGGCUUUCUUUAGAACAUUUCUCUUAACUUUCGUACUGCUGCUGUUACAAUUUAGGUACCAAGUGAGGAAGCUAUUGAAACUG